UACGGGAGGCAGCAGUGGGGGAUAUUGCACAAUGGGCGAAANNCUGAUGCAGCAACGCCGCGUGAGGGAAGACGGUUUUCGGAUUGUAAACCUCUGUCUUUGGUGAAGAAGAAAGUGACGGUAGCCAAGGAGGAAGCCACGGCUAACUACGUGCCAGCAGCCGCGGUAAU
RNAcentral lists this ribosomal RNA (170 nucleotides) under uncultured rumen bacterium. RNAcentral's name for it is "partial 16S ribosomal RNA". It matches the Rfam family "Bacterial small subunit ribosomal RNA", at positions 340 to 524 of the family's 1533-position model. The record is from RNAcentral.